CGGAAGGAAGACGGAGCCCCUGUGCCCCUGGAGGCAUCUCUCAGUCAGCCCAACCCCGCUGAACCGAAUAGCCUUGAAAAGAUGGAAGACUCAGGGCAGAAACUGAAGGGGCUUCUGGAAGAACUUGCUUUCGAAGGAAGGCUGGAAGAUCAGGCUUUUGAAACUUUUUUCUGCAUCCAGUUAUGAUGCAGAUUCAGUAAGAAGAAAUCACCAAGUCCAGCUGGGGGACCAACAUUCCACUACUGAGGAGCUGAUGGGGAGGGGGCUGGGAGGGAAGAGGCAGCCUGUGAGAUGAGAGAUGGGAGAGAACCAAGAGGCUAGGACUGGAAAGGGGCAAAAGAGCCACAGAAGGAAGGGUUUGGACCCUUAAAA
Ailuropoda melanoleuca (giant panda) is the source of this 372-nucleotide long non-coding RNA. RefSeq lists it as uncharacterized. The record is from RefSeq and is a predicted model, not a curated record. The transcript is spliced from 2 exons. NCBI's taxonomy places the organism in Eukaryota, Metazoa, Chordata, Mammalia, Carnivora, Ursidae.